UAGGUAGAGAAUACUCAGGCGCUUGAGAGAACUCGGGUGAAGGAACUAGGCAAAAUGGUGCCGUAACUUCGGGAGAAGGCACGCUAGCAUUAGGUGAAGAGUCUAGCAUCCGAAGCUGAAGCCAGUCGAAGAUACCAGCUGGCUGCAACUGUUUAUUAAAAACACAGCACUGUGCAAACACGAAAGUGGACGUAUACGGUGUGACGCCUGCUCGGUGCUGGAAGGUUAAUUGAUGGGGUAAGCCGUAAGGCGAAGCUCUUGAUCGAAGCUCCAGUAAACGGCGGCCGUAACUAUAACGGUCCUAAGGUAGCGAAAUUCCUUGUCGGGUAAGUUCCGACCUGCACGAAUGGCGUAAUGAUGGCCAAGUUGUCUCCACCCGUGACUCAGUGAAAUUGAACUCACUGUGAAGAUGCAGUGUACCCGCGGCAAGACGGAAAGACCCCGUGAACCUUUACUGUA
RNAcentral lists this ribosomal RNA (459 nucleotides) under Arsenophonus endosymbiont of Bemisia tabaci Asia II 3. RNAcentral describes it as "partial 23S ribosomal RNA". It matches the Rfam family "Bacterial large subunit ribosomal RNA", at positions 1668 to 2108 of the family's 2925-position model. The record is from RNAcentral. Lineage: Bacteria; Pseudomonadati; Pseudomonadota; Gammaproteobacteria; Enterobacterales; Morganellaceae.